RNAcentral lists this ribosomal RNA (329 nucleotides) under Patescibacteria group bacterium. RNAcentral's name for it is "partial 16S ribosomal RNA". It matches the Rfam family "Bacterial small subunit ribosomal RNA", at positions 1244 to 1533 of the family's 1533-position model. The record is from RNAcentral.
GGGUUGCUAAAUCGUAAGAUGGUGCUAAUCUCAUCAAAACUCGUCUCAGUUCGGAUUGAGGUCUGAAAUUCGACCUCAUGAAGCUGGAAUCGCUAGUAAUCGUGGAUCAGACACGCCACGGUGAAUACGUUCCCGGGUCUUGUACUUACCGCCCGUCAAGUCAAGGGAGUCGGCAAUACCCGAACCCGCCCAAUUUUUGCUGAAUAAUUAGAGUAAUAUCUAAAAAAUUCGGAAAAAGUUGGGCGGGGAAGGUAAGGCUGGUAACAAGGACUAAGUCGUAACAAGGCAUCUGUAGCGGAAGCUGUGGAUGGAUCACCUCCUUUCUAGGG